Molecule: long non-coding RNA, 828 nt
Organism: Herpailurus yagouaroundi (jaguarundi)
Lineage: Eukaryota; Metazoa; Chordata; Mammalia; Carnivora; Felidae
Exons: 2
Source: RefSeq, a predicted model, not a curated record
CUGAUCUUAUCAUGACAUUUUCAUUUUCAGGAAAGGAAGUUUUCCCCUUUAGGAAGCAUUGUUAAAGCUGGGAUUCCUCUGGGUUCAGACCUGAGUUCACUUCUCUUCUUGGAUCUUCCUCAGGCAUCUCUCCAUCUCCUCUGGCUUCAACAACCAUGCAUUUUUAUGUCGUGGCUACAUUCUCGCGGAUGCAUCAUGGGUUCCAUAUGGCUGCUAGAGCUCCCGUGUCCACAUUCCAAGCAGCAAGAAGACACAGGACAAAGAAAGGAAGAGGGUGCUUUACCUAUCUAAUGAGUGACUUCCACUGACAUCUUACUGGCCAUGCCUACUUACAAGGGAGAUGGGGCAACUUGGUAUUUAGCUUCAGAACAUUACCAUCUUGGAAAAAAAAAAUCAGGAUUUUGUUACUUUCAAGGAGGAGAUGGCUAUCGGGUAGGCAAUCAGCAAUCUCUACCAAAGAACAGAGUUGGUUCCACUUGCCAGGAGGGAACAGUCAAGAACUGAGCACUUUCCACCCCAUUUUUGCUCUCUUGCUUGCUGUACUCUAUGAGAGGAAGACAGAUUAAUCUGACAGAUAAGACCGGAAAAGAGACAAGUUGGUCAUUGAUGGAGCUGUACCCAGUUUCUCUCGAUCACUGACCUGUUUGUACUGAAUUAAGACAAAGGCUUGACAAGAACAAGCCAGAUCUGUGCUAUUUCAUUUUCAAGUCCUCCUCCUCCUGUUCUUUGCUGGGUGAAGUUAGAGUCCAGGUUUUGGGAGGGAAGUUUGAGUCCUGACAUAUUUCCCUAAUCAGCUUUGCUAUUAAUAAAGGUGUAAUGGUAUUGUGA